CCCAUCUUUUAAAAAAUAUAUUGCUUAAAAAUAAAUAUUUCUCAAAGUACUUCUUAGAGUUCAAAAAACCUAAUUAUUUACAAGUAUAAACUAUAAUAAAGAUUGCAGUUGUUGCUCACCUGUUAUUUCUUGGACAAAUUGCAUCCAUUUUACUUCUAGGGCUAGAAAACUUAUAUCACUAUUAGCUGUUUCUCUGAAAUCUUGUCAUGUUGAGUUUGAUUGCCUGUCUAUAAAGAUGGGUAAUAGUGUGACUAUAUGCUAUUAAAAGUAUCUGUUGGUUUGGACAUAAUAGCAAUGUGGUUUGGUGGUGUUUGCAAAAGUGAUUGAUGGAUAUGGCCAUGUAGUUGUGCAGUAAUGGAAGUGAGAGAUAGGAAAGACUUGUCAGAGCAUCUUAUGCCAGUGUGGGUUUGUUUCCUAAGGACUAAUCAUUUGCCAUAACAGUACUGAGAAGUAAAUUAUUUGGAGGCAUAGGAUAAUGAGGGUGUAUUAUUAUGUUUUAUCUUUUCUAAAGUAAGAAUUCCUCUGUGUGUUUUAUUAGCAUGAAAAUAGAUAGCAAUUGUACAAUAAAUACUGUUUAAAGAAGAGCUUCCUUCAUGUUUUAUAAACCGACAUAAUAAUAUUCUUCAUGUUUAAUGAAGUUUGUGUAGGAAAAUAGUGUGACUGUUUUUGAUUAGAGGCAUAUUUUGUUCAAGAAUUGGAUGAAGAUAUUCUUCCUAAUCUGAUUGUGUUCCCAGACUAGUUGUUAAUUAUUUGGAAUUACGAGUCGUGAUGGUGAAGUUUCCACCACAUCCAGAAAAGCCUGUAAUUUUAACCCUCUGGUGGUUUGUUUUCUGAAGUGAAGAACUAAUGCAGAGUUCUGUCACUAAAAACACAGCAGUGUGUAGGAGAGAUUGGAAGUAAGGUUGUGGUGAGAAUUGGCAGGAGGACUCUUCUCCCUACAUUCCUCCUCCUUUGUCACUGUACUAGCUGGUAACAGCUGGGCCAUAGGAGUGGAGACUAAGAAUGAAAGGAGAUACCAUUGCUUAGCACUCCUUUUCCUCUUUUCCCCCUUCUGUUGGCAACCCUUGAUGGGGAGGAAACAAAAUGUCUAUUUAGCAGCCCAGUUAUCCCAUAUUAAGCAGCUAUCAAAUUAAUGUAAGUACACCUGCAGGGUAUUUCCAGUGUGAAUUACAGAAUACUUUAAAAAUUAGGUGUAUCUCAUUUAUCUAUCAUUAGGGCAUAUCAUUUCAAAUGCUUAUAAUGAACUAUGAUUUUUAUCAGCAUUUCCAAGAUUUGAGUCAAACACUUUGAAAAUUCAUAGGGAGUCUCUUAAUAGCUGUUUGAAGAGGAAAACCAAAUCAAACCAAAAGAAAGUAGAGAGGAAGGUGAUUCUCAGCACAGCCCUUUGCAUGUGUCACCACAGUUGACCUCUGGAAUCAGCCUUUCACAUUACCUUGCCCUCUGCUACCACAUUGAUUUUGUACCUCUCCAUGCAGUCUGAUUUAAGUCCAUGAACUGGUUAGCUGCUAAUUGGUGAAAUAUGCCUUUUUAAAUAUGAACUUGUUAGCCUGGCUAUUUCCUGAAAACCAUUUGGAGUUUAUUAAAAAUGGAGACCAUUUUUAUUGAAGCCAUAAUUGUCAUGGGCGAUACACAUGAGACAUCACCCUGUGGCUGGUCUGUCAGACUUUCAUGAGCCUUCAGAAAUUAAGGGGAAUGAGUGAGUUUGUUUUCUUGUAAGCUGUCACAUCAUUCUCUUCAAGGUGUCAGCCUGAGUUGUGCAGAGAUAAAUAUUAGAAAUGUUCACCUUCUCCAGUUCAUUUUUUUUACCCUUACAUAAUUUAGUAGUAUGAUUGCUUUUCCUCUAACAUAUAAUUUUGUUGUACUUUCAACUUUUGAAAUGUGAGCCUGUGUUUUAGACUUGGGAAACCUUAUAGGUAGCUCCAGUAUAGAAAGCUCAGCCUAUAGACAGUUUAAUUAACUUAAAUAAAACAAAACUAUAAUUUUUUGCUAAGGAAUAGAAUUUCUGAAUGGCGAUGGAAAGGAAGAGGUUGAACUUUGUAAAAUAAGCCAACCCAGAUAGAAAUUGUCGGUUAAUUUAAAAUAUUUUUUAUUGACAGUGUUACAUAUGAGCAUCACUGUUGUAGGAAUGGUGAAUCAAUGAUUCAUAAAUCUUUUCUUAAAGGAGUGUCUAGUAAGGGCUAUAAGGCACGUUCAUAAAGAACAACAGAAAGCAGAAAGUCUUAAGUGUCUUGUGAAAAAAAGUGCAAAUAAAUUACAAGAGGGAGAAUUACUUUUUAGCUGGAGAGGAAAUUUGGAUAGACUUGAAGCAAACUGUUGUUUGAGCAAGAUCAAAAGGUGGGAUAAAUUUUGGAGUUAAGGAGGAAAGAUAUUCCAGGAUCAUAUCUGUAGCAGCACAAGUAGAUAACAUAGAAUAGUGAAUUUCUGAGUUUCCUAUUAUGUAGGAGGCACAGAAGGUAGAGUUAGUGUGUGUGUAUGUUAUAUAGGUACUGAAUGAGACUAGAUAAGCCUCUAGGAUAAGGGAGCUUGACUGUUAGUUCAAGGAAUUUGUUCUGUAUUAAAAAGGCAUCAAAAAGCUAUUCAAAGCUUUGAAGUAUACUUCAAAGUAUACUUGGGAGUAUACUUUGUAUACACCAGAGUAUACUUGGGCAGAAACUGAAGAUGGGCUAUCAGCAGGGCAGCAGUUAGAUUAUUGUAGUAAUCUUGAUGAGACUGGAUGAGGGGCUGAGGGUAGUUUAGUAGUGAUUAAAUAGAGAUAAUAAAUAUGUGAGAUCCUGCCAAAUCAAUCAAUAUAGGACUUGGCAGUUAAUUGAUAUGGGGGUGAUAAAAGAAGGAGCAGGCUCUAGAAAGUUUGUGAAUUACUGGCCCAUUAGAUAUUAAUACUUUGCAUUUGUAUAUGGAGCUUUAGGAUUUAUAAAACACUAUUAUAUGAGAGCUUUCAUAACUCUCUAAGUUAAAGUUAUAGUACAAUUAUCCUUAUUAUGGAUGAGGAAAUAAAGAAUUUAGGGAUUUUUCUGUGGUUACUACGGAGAGUAAAUGCAGAUCUGGGCCUGUAACUAGUCUUCUAGUUUCUUGGCCAGUACUUCUUUUAUACCCUUUCUUGUGAACCUAGUCCCAAUGUUUUUUUGAUUUUUUUUUUUUUUUUUUUUUUUGUUACAGAGGCUUGCUCUGUCACCCAGGCUGGAGGUGCAGUGGCAUGAUCUUGGCUCACUACAACCUUUGUGUCCCAGGUUCAAGAGAUUCUCAUUCAUGGCUCAGCCACCCAGAUAGCUGGGAUUACAGGUGUAGGCCACCAUACUCAGCUAAGUUUUGUAUUUUUAAUAGAGAUGGGGUGUCACCACCUUGGCCAGGGUGUGGCCUCUAACUCCUGACCUCAAGAGAUCCACCUGCUUUUGCCUCCCAAAGUGCUGGGAUUAUAGGCAUGAGCCACCACCCCCGGCCACCACUAAGUUUCUGAAUGUGGGCAAAUUGCUUUGUCUCUUGGUGCUUUAGUCUCUCUAGAUGUCCUUAUCCUUUCUAUACAAGGAGACUUUGAAGAUAAAAUGCAAUAUUUUUGGUUUUAUAAACUCUAUUCAGCAAAUAAUGAGCACUAAAUACUAUGAUUGGUACAGGGGAUCGCAAGGUAUUUAAAAUAAAAUCUCUGCUUUUUUUGUGUUUCACAGAUUGGAGGACAAAAAUGCAGAUAAAUAAUUGUAAUAACUGCAGUAAGUGUUCUAAUGCAAGUUUGUGCAUUUAGCUCUAGAGUCAUAGAGUAAGGGGCAGUCAGGCAGUCAGUGAAGGCUUCCCAAGGAGAUGUAGACGAAGUCCUGAAGCAUGAUUUGUGGUUUAAUGGUAGUAAAAUGUUAAACAAGACAGAGAGUAAAAUAAAUGUAUCAUCAUCAUCAUCAUGAUAUUAGCUAUUAUUUGUUGAGAAGCUUAUAGUUCUGACCACAUCUCUGCAAGAUAUUUUCAUUUUGGAAGUGAGAAAAUAGGUUUAAAAGGUUGUGAUUUGAUCACAGUAUAUGAUGAAGUCAGUAUGGUACAUUAGGGAGAUGCAAAUAGUUAAGUAUCACUGGAGAAUAGCACAUGAGUGAUAGAAAGGAUAAAGAUAAAACUGAAAAAGGAACUCAAGUAUACUAUUCUAGAUAUUAGAAAAUAAAAAUAAUAGAACUAGUGGUUUCAUGACAGUCAAGGUAGACUAUUUUAACAUAUAUUGAGAGACAAAGCAUACCUAGUAAAAUAUGCCCAAUUAAACAUUGGUUACUGUCUAGGCCAAGAUGUUUUCACUGAUCAAUUCUCUCAAAAUUUAAGGAAGAUAUAAGACUAAGUUGACAGAAUUCAGAGAAGAGAGGAGUAGGAAGCAUUUUCCAACUCAUUUAUAAAACCAGCAUACCUCCAAUACUAGUAUGUGGCAAAGAUUUUAUGAAAUACUAGCAAGUGAAAUCCAGAAAUAUGUAAAAAGGAUAAUACAUCAUUACUAAGCAGCAUUUACCUCAGAAAUUCAGGAUUGGAUUAAUAUUUUAAAAGCCAUAUGAUUAUUUUGAUAGAUGUGGAAUAAACACUUGACAAAAUUUAGUAACCAUUCAGAGUAAAGAACUAUUAGCAGGCUGGGUGUGGUGGUUCACACCUGUAAUCCUAGCACUCUGGGAGACCAAGGCAGGCAGAUCACCUGAGGUCAGGAGUUUGAGACCAGCCUGGCCAACAUAGUGAAACCUCAUCUCUACUAAAACUACAAAAAUUAGCUGGGCAUGGUAGUGUGUACCUGUAGUCCCAGAUACCUGGGAGGCUGAGGCAGAAAAUUGCUUGAACCUGGGAGGUGGAGGUUGCAGUGAACUGAGAUCAUGCCAUUGCACUCCAACCUGGGCGACAGGGUGGAACUCUUGUCUCAAAAAAAAAAAGAAGAGUACCUAUGAAAAACCUGCUAAAAUCAUGCUUCAUGGUAAAAUAUGAAAUGCUCUUCCCAAAGAUUGGGGAAAAAGCAAGAAUACCCACUCUCUUCAUUCUUAUUAGCAUUGAAGUAGAAAUCCUAGCCAAUGCAGUAAGGGAAGAAAAAUAAACAAAAUGUUUGAAAGUCAGAAAGAAAGAAGUAAAACUGUUUCUUUUUGCAGUUGACAGCGUUUGUUUAUGCAGAAAAACCCAAGGAACCUAGAAAAUAACUAUUAGAACUAAUAUAUUUAACUAAUUCGUUUAGCAAGACAUAAGGUCAAUAUACAAAAAUCAUCGUAUUUUUAUAUACUCAUAGUAAAUGAAAUUUUAAAAAUUUCAUCAAAAAUGGCACUAAAAAACAUGGAAUACUUAGAAAUAAAUUUAACAAAAAAUGUAUAAGACCAGUGCCUUAAAGAUCGUAAAACAUUGCUGAGAGAAACUGUAGAAAACCUGAAAAAUAGAAUAUAUACCAUGCUCAUGGACUGGAUGGCUCAAUGUGGUUAAGACGUCAGUUCUCCCUAUGUGCAGUUCCAAUCAUAAUAUCGAGCAGGCUUUUUGUAGAAAAUGCAAAUCUGAUUUCUAAAAUUUAUGUAGAAACAAAAAGGACCCUUAUUUACAAAGAAAUUGUAAAUAAGAAGGACAGAGUUUGCAGACUUAUAUUGUUUUGGUUGCUUUCAAUAAGACUACAGUAACCAAGGCAGUAUGUGUAGUAAGUUGAAUAGUGUCCCCCAAAAUUCAUGUCCACCUGGACUCUCAGGAUGUGGCUUUAUUUGGAAAUAGAGUCUUUGUAGAUGCAACUAGUUAAGAUGAGGCUACAUAGAGGAUUAUGGUGUACCUUAAAUCAAUGACUAGUGAGAAGGAAAUCCUUCUCACUCUCCUUAUGUGAGAAGGAAAGGACACAGAGACAAAGACACUGAGGGAAUAAGCUUAUAUGAUGAUGUAAUUAGAGACUGAAGUGAUGUAUCUGAAUGUAAUGGAACCCCAGGGAUUGUUAGAAGCCACCAGAAGCUAGGAAGAGGCCAGGAAGCAUUCUUCCUUAGAACCUUCAUAGGGAACAUGCUAUUACCAACAACUCGAUUUCAGAUUUCUGGUCUCCAGAACUGUGAGAUAAUAAAUUUUUGUUGUUUUAUGCCAUCUGGUUUGUGGUUCUUUGUCACAGCAGCUCAAAGAAACAAAUACAGUGAGAUACUGACAUAGCAAUCAAGUUGAUCAAUGGAACCAAGUAGUAAACCCAGAAACAGACCUAUGUUUAUACAAUUAUUUGAUUUUCAACAAAGAUGUCAAAGCAAUGCAAGGGAAAAGAAACGUCUUUUCAACAAAUGGUGCUGGUGAAACUGGAUUUCCAUGUGGGCUUAAAAAAAAUCACCCCUUCCCACACACUAUAUAUAGAAAAUAAUUCUAACUAAAAGCAAAAACUAUAAUGCUUCUAGAAGAAGACAUCUUUGUAGCUUAGGAGUGGACAAAGAUUUCCUAGGACAUGGGAAACAUUAGCUGUAAAAGAAAAAAAUUCAUAAAUAAUUGUGAUGGAAGGACAUUGGGAAAAUAGGCAAGCUAAAGACAGGGAUGCCAGGCUCAGUGGCUCAUGUUUGUUAUCCCAGCACUUUGGGAAUUCAAGGCAGAGUGAUUGCUUGGGCCCAGGAGUUCAAGACCAGCCUGAACGACAUAGGGAGACCCUGUCUCUACAAAAAAAAUUUUUUUAAUUAGCUAAGCAUGGUGGCACAUGCCAGUGGUCCCAACUACUUGGGAGGCGGAGGUGGAAGGAUCACUUGGAGGCCAGGUGUGGUGGCUCACACCUGUAAUCUCAGCACUUUGGGAGGCUGAGGCAGAUGCAUUGCUUGAGCCCAGGAGUUUGAGACCAGCCUAGGCAAUGUGGCAAAACCCGGUUUCUAUUAAAAAUCCAAAAAUUAGCCAGGCAUGGUGGUGCACACCUAUAGUCCCAGCUACUUGAGUGGCUGAGGAUAGGAGGAUCGAUGCCCAGAAGGUCAAGACUGCAGUGAGUUGUGAUCGCAUCACUAUAAUCUAGCUUUGGUGACACAGAGAGAUCCUGUCUCAGAUAAAUAAAUAGAAAUAAAUAAAUCAAUGUUAAGUCAGGGAGAAAUAUUUGCACAAUCUUUAUCUGACAAGGGACAUAGAUCCGGAAUAUAUAAAGACCACAAUUGAAAAAUAAAAUGACAGCCAACCUUAUUAGAAAAUGAGCAAGAAUUUAGAAGACAUUUCACAAAGAAAGGUAUACAAAUGGCCAAAAAGCACAUUAAAAAUGCUUGAUAUCAUUUGUCACUGGAGAAAUGCCAGUUACAGCUAGAAUAAGAUAUUAAUUAGCCUGCAGGCGCUAAAAAGGCUAAAAUUUAAAAGACCAAAUGUAGCUAGAGAUAUGGAGCAACUCUCAUACUUUGAUAUGUAGGUAGAGAGUAUGAGCAACUCUCAUACUUUGUUGUUGGGAGUUUAAAAUGUACUACAAUGUUGGAAAAAGGUCUGGCUGUUUUUUAGGAAACUAAAUAUGUAUUUACCCUAUUACACAUUAAUUUCACUCUUUCUGUACCUACCUAUGAGAAAUGAAAAUAUAUGCACAUAAAAGGAUUUGUAGAAGAAUGUUUAUAGCAGCUUAUAAUAGCUAAAACCUGGGAACAGCCCAGGUAUCUGUCAACAGAGAAUGAAUAAACAAAUUGUGGUGUAAUCAUACAAUAAAAUAAUUUUUGUAUUUUUAGUAGACAUGGAGUUUCACCAUUGUGCCCAGGCUAGUCUUGAACUCCUGACCUCAAGUGAUCCACCUGUCUUGGCUUCCUAAAGUGCUGCGAUUAUGGGCAUGAGCCAUGAUGCCCAGCCUGAACCCUAGUUGUUGAUAUGCAAGCUGAAGUGAUGGGGUGGUGUUUACUGAUGCCUGUAACUUACCUCCAAAUGCAUUAAAAAAUGCACUGAUAGAUUAGAAGAAUGGACAGAUGACAACAUGACAAAAGCAAAUAUAAAAUGUUAAUCAUAUAAAUUAAAUAGUAUUUGAGUGUUCAGCAUAUAGUUAUUUUAACUUGCUGUAUUUUUGAAAGUUUUUAUAAUGUUGGGAAAAAUGGUUAUUAAUGGGGAAUGAUUACAAAAAUUAUUGUACAUCUCUACAUUAGAAUACUUGUAGCAUUUAUCAUUGUAUAAUAUGGAAAGACUUUUUAGGCUUUCUCUUAAGGCAAAAACAAGUAGCAGAAAAGUAUGAUAUUUUAAAAAUUAACAUAACAAAGACUGUGUUUGUAUGCACAUAUACCUAAGUUCUCAGAAAAAGUUUGGGAAGGAAAUAUGCAUCAGUUUAUGUCUGAAAAGAGGAUAGCCUGGCAGUAGGUUUAUGGGAUAUUUUUUUAUUUUUUGUUUACAUAAACUUUCUUCAGUGAAAAUACAUGACAUUUUAAAAAACAUUCUGCCUUUAGUGAUGUAAAAAAUGCCUUUUUUAUCAUAUUAGAUGAGAAAAAUAUACUAAAUUGUCUGAGCAACAUAAUUUCAACUGAUAAAUGCACCUAUGUAAGAGGAAAAAGAAACUUAGAUGUAAAUAUUGGUUAUAUUAAUAUUAGGAACAUAGGUCAUCUGCCCACCUCGACCUCCCAAAAUGUUGGGAUUACAGGUGUUGAGCCACCAGGGCUGGCCAGGUCAUUUUUUUUUUUUCUUUUACUCUCUUGUAUUUUUUUUUUUUUUUUUGCAUUUUAGGUUUUGGGGUACAUGUGCAGAACAUGCAAGAUAGUUGCAUAGAUACACACAUGGCAGUGUGUUUUGCUGCCUUCCUCCCCUUCACCCACAUUUGGCAUUUCUCCCCAGGCUAUCCCUCCCCAGCUCCUCCCCCCGCUGGCCCUCUCCUAUUCCCUCCAAUAGACCCCAGUGUUUGUACUCCCUUCCCUGUGUCCAUGUGUUCUCAUUAUUCAUCACCUGCCUAUGAGUGAGAAUAUGCGGUAUUUUAUUUUCUGUUCUUGUGUCAGUUUGCUGAGAAUGAUGUUCUCCAGAUUCAUCCAUGUCCCUACAAACGACACGAACUCAUCAUUUUUGAUUGCUGCAUAAUAUUCCAUGGUGUAUAUGUGCCACAUUUUCCCAAUCCAGUCUAUCAUCGAUGGGCAUUUGAGUUGGUUCCAGGUCUUUGCUAUUGUAAACAGUGCUGCAGUGAACAUUUGUGUGCAUGUGUCCUUAUAGUAGAACGAUUUAUAGUCCUUUGGAUAUAUACCCAGUAAUGGGAUUGCUGGGUCAAAUGGAAUUUUUAUUUCUAAGGCCUUGAGGAAUCGCCACACUGUCUUCCACAAUGGUUGAACUAAUUUACACUCCCACCAACAGUGUAAAAGUGUUCCUAUUUCUCUACAUCCUCUCCAGCAUCUGUUGUCUCCAGAUUUUUUAAUGAUUGCCAUUCUAACUGGCAUGAGAUGGUAUCUCAGUGUGGUUUUCAUUUGCAUCUCUCUGAUGACCAGUGAUGAUGAGCAUUUUUUUAUAUGAUUGUUGGCCUCAUGUAUAUCUUCUUUUGUAAAGUGUCUGUUCAGAUCCUUUGCCCAUUUUUGAAUGGGCUUGUUUGUUUUUUUUCUUGUAAAUCUGUUUGAGUUCUUUGUAAAUUCUGGAUAUCAGCCCUUUGUCAGAUGGGUAAACUGCAAAAAUUUUUUCCCAUUCUGUUGGUUGCCGAUUCACUCUAGUGACUGUUUCUUUUCCCGUGCAGAAGCUGUGGAGUUUGAUUAGGUCCCAUUUGUCUAUUUUGGCUUUUGUUGCCAAUGCUUUUGGUGUUUUGUUCAUGAAGUCCUUGCCUACUCCUAUGUCCUGAAUGGUUUUGCCUAGAUUUUCUUCUAGGGUUUUUAUGGUGCCAGGUCUUAUGUUUAAGUCUUUAAUCCAUCUGGAGUUAAUUUUAGUAUAAGGUGUCUGGAAGGGGUCCAGUUUCUGCUUUCUGCACAUGGCCAGCGAGUUUUCCCAACACCAUUUAUUAAACAGGGAAUCCUUUCCCCAUUGCUUGUUUUUGUCAGGUUUAUCAAAGAUUGUAUAGUUGUAGAUAUGCUGUGUUGCCUCCGAUGCCUCUGUUUUGUUCCAUUGGUCUAUAUCUCUGUUUUGGUACCAGUACCAUGCUGUUUUGAUUACUGUAGCCUUGUAGUAUAGUUUGAAAUCCAGUGGUGUGAUGCCCCCCGCUGUGUUCUUUUUGCUUAGAAUUGACUUGGCUAUGCGGGCUCUCUAUGGGUUCCAUAUGAAGUUCAAGGUAGUUUUUUCCAGUUCUGUGAAGAAAGUCAAUGGUAGCUUGAUGGGGAUAGCGUUGAUUCUGUAAAUUACUUUGGGCAGGAUAGCCAUUUUUAUGAUAUUAAUUCUUUCUAACCAUGAACAUGGAAUGUUUCUCCAUCUGUUUGUAUCCUCUUUUAUUUUGCUGAGCAGUGGUUUGUAGUUCUCCUUGAAGAGGUCCCUUACGUUCCUUGUGAGUUGUAUUCCUAGGUAUUUUAUUCUUUUUGUAGCAAUUGUGAAUGGCAGUUCGUUCUUGAUUUGGCUUUCUUUAAGUCUGUUAUUGGUGUAGAGGAAUGCUUGUGAUAUUUGCACAUUGAUUUUAUAUCCUGAGACUUUGCUGAAGUUGCUUAUCAGUUUCAGGAGGUUUUGGGCUGAGGCGAUGGGGUCUUCUAGGUAUACUAUCAUGUCGUCUGCAAAUAGAGACAAUUUGGCUUCCACCUUUGCUAUUUGAAUACCCUGUAUUUCUUUUUCUUGCCUGAUUGCUCUGGCUAGAACUUCCAGUACUAUAUUGAAUAGGAGUGGUGAAAGAGGGCAUCCUUGUCUAGUGCCAGAUUUCAAAGGGAGUGCUUCCAGUUUUUGCCCAUUAAGUAUGAUAUUGGCUGUUGGUUUGUCAUAAAUAGCUUUUAUUACUUUGAGAUACGUGCCAUCGAUACCAAGUUUAUUGAGGGUUUUUAGCAUAAAGGGCUGUUGAAUUUUGUCAAAUGCCUUCUCUGCGUCAAUUGAGAUAAUCAUGUGAUUUUUGUUUUUGGUUCUGUUUAUGUGGUGAAUUACAUUUAUAGACUUGUGUAUGUUGAACCAGCCUUGCAUCCCUGGGAUGAAUCCUACUUGAUCAUGAUGGAUAAGUUUUUUGAUGUGCCGUUGCAAUUGGCUUGCCAGUAUUUUAUUGAAGAUUUUUGCAUCUAUGUUCAUCAAGGAUAUUGGCCUGAAGUUUUCUUUUCUUGUUGGGUCUCUGCCGGGUUUUGGUAACAGGAUGAUGUUGGUCUCAUAAAAUGAUUUGGGAAGGAUUCCUUCUUUUUGGAUUAUUUGGAAUAGUUUUAGAAGGAAUGGUACCAGCUCCUCUUUGUGUGUCUGGUAGAAUUCGGCUGUGAACCCAUCUGGACCUGGGCUUUUUUUGUGUGGUAGGCUCUUAAUUGCAGCCUUGACUUCAGACCGUGUUACUGGUCUAUUCAUAGUUUCAGCUUCCUCCUGGUUUAGGCUUGGGAGGACACAGGUGUCCAGGAAUUUAUCCAUUUCUUCCAGGUUUACUAGUUUAUGUGCAUAGAGUUGUUUGUAAUAUUCUCUGAUGAUGGUUUGAAUUUCUGUGGGAUCUGUGGGGAUUUCCCGUUGAUCGUUUUUUAUUGCAUCUAUUUGGUUGUUCUCUCUUUUCUUUUUUAUCAGUCUGGCUAGUGGUCUGUCUAUUUUGUUGAUCUUUUCAAAAAACCAGCUCUUGGAUUUAUUGAUUUUUUGAAGGGUUGUUUGUGUCUCUAUCUCCUUCAGUUCUGCUCUGAUCUUAGUUAUUUCUUGUCUUCUGCUAGGUUUUGAGUUUUUUUUAUCUUGCUCCUCUAGCUCUUUCAGUUUUGAUGAUAGCGUAUCAAUUUUAGAUUUCUCCACUCUUCUCAUAUGGGCACUUAUUGCUAUAUAUUUUCCUCUAGAGACUGCUUUAAAUGUGUCCCAGAGAUUCUGGUAUGUUGUGUCUUCAUUCUCGUUGGUUUCGAAGAACUUCUUUAUUUCUGCCUUCAUUUCGUUGUUUAUCCAGUCAACAUUCAGGAGCCAGUUGUUCAGUUUCCAUGAAGCUGUGUGGUUCUGGGUUAGUUUCUGAAUUCUGAGUUAUAACUUGAUUGCACUAUGGUCUGAGAGACUGUUUGUUAUGAUUUCAGUUGUUUUCCAUUUGCUUAGGAGUGCUUUACUUCCAAUUAUGUGGUCAAAGUAGGUGUGAUGUGGUGCUGAGAAGAAUGUAUAUUCUGUGGUUUUGGGGUGGAGAGUUCUGUAAAUGUCUAUCAGGUUUGUUUGUUCCAGGUCUGAGUUCAAGCCCUGGAUAUCCUUGUUAAUUUUCUGUCUGGUUGAUCUGUCUAAUACUGACAGUGGAGUGUUAAAGUCUCCCAAUAUUAUUGUGUGGGAAUCUGUCUCUGUAAGUCAUUAAGAACUUACCUUAUGUAUCUGGGUGCUCCUGUAUUGGGUCCAUAUAUAUUUAGGAUCAUUAGCUCUUCUUGUUACAUCGAUCCUUUUACCAUUAUGUAAUGUCCUUCUUUGUCUCUUUUGAUCUUUUUUGCUUUAAAGUCUAUUUUAUCAGAGAUGAGAAUUGCAACUCCUGCUUUUUUUUGCUCUUCAUUUGCUUGUUAAAUCUUCCUCCAUCCCUUUAUUUUGAGCCUUUAUGUAUCCUUGCAUGUGAGAUUGAUUUCCUGGAUAUAGCAUACUGAUGGGUUUUGGUGUUUUAUCCAAUUUGCCAGUCUGUGUCUUUUGAUUGGUGCAUUUAGCCCAUUUACAUUUAGGGUUAAUAUUGUUAUGUGUGAAUUUGAUACUGCCAUUUUGAUGCUAGCUGGCUGUUUUGCCUGUCAGUUGAUGUAGAUUCUUCUUUUUGUUGAUGCUCUUUAGCAUUUAGUGUGUUUUUGGAAUGGCUGGUACUGGUUGUUCCUUUCUAUGUGUAGUGCCUCUUUCAGGAGCUCUUGUAAAGCAGGCCUGGUGGUGACAAAAUCUCUGAGUACUUGCUUGUUCUCAAAGGAUUUUAUUUUUCCUUCACUUAUGAAGCUCAGUUUGGCUGGCUAUGUAAUUCUGGGUUGAAAGUUCUUUUCUUUAAGGAUGUUGAAUAUUGGCCCCCACUCUCUUCUGGCUUGUAGAGUUUCUGCUGAGAGAUCUGCUGUGAGUCUGAUGGGCUUCCCUUUGUGAGUGACCCGACCUUUCUCUCUGGCUGCCCUUAGUAUUUUCUCCUUCAUUUCAACCCUAGUGAAUCUGAUAAUUAUGUGCCUUGGGGUUGCUCUUCUUACGGAGUAUCUUUAUGGUGUUCUCUGUAUUUCCUGGAUUUGAGUGUUGGCCUGCCUUGCUAGGUUGGGGAAAUUUACCUGAAUAAUAUCCUGAAGAGUAUUUUCCAGCUUGAAUUCGUUCUUUUUGUCACCUUCUGGUGCACCUAUCAAACGUAGGUUAGGUCUCUUCACAUAGUCCCACAUUUCUUCGAGAGUUUGUUCAUUCCUUUUUGCGUUUUUUUCUCUAAUCUUGGUUUCUCAUUUUAUUUCAUUGAGUUGAUCUUUAACUUCUGAUAUUCUUUCUUCUGCUUGGUCACUUCGGCUGUUGAAACUUGUGCCUGCUUCGUGAAGUUCUCGUGUUGUGUUUUCCAACUCCUUCAGUUCAUUCAUAUUCCUCUCUAAGUUAUCCAUUCUUGUUAUCAUUUCCUCGAAUCUUUUUUCAAAACUUUUUUGAAGGUUCUUAGUUUCUUUGCAUUGAUUUAGAACAUGUUCUUUUAGCUCACAGAAGUUUCUCAUUACCCACCUUCUGAAGUCUAAUUCCAUCAUUUCGUCACAGUCAUUCUCCGUCCAGCUUUGUCCCUUGCUGGUUAGGAGUUUUGGUCCUUUGUAGGAGGCGAGGUGUUCUGGUUUCAGGUGUUUUUCUCCUUUUUGCGCUGGUUUCUUCCCAUCUUUGUGGAUUUAUCCACCUGUCGUCUGAGUAGUUGCUGACUUUUCGAUUGGGUCUCUGAGUGGACGCCCAGAUUGUUGAUGAUGAGGUAUUUCUGUUACUUGGUUUUCCUUCUACCAAUCUAGCCCCUGCACUGUACGACUGCUGAGGUCCACUCCAAGUUCUGCUUGUCUGGGGUACACCUGUAGCAGCUGCGGAACAGUGAGGGAUGCUACCAGUUUCUUCUUCUGCUAUCUUUGUCCCAGAAUGAUGCCCACCAAAUGUCAGUCUGAUCAGUUCUUUUUGUGGUGACUCUUUGGAUAUACAGGGGUCAGGGAGCUGCUUGAGGAGACGGUCUGUACUUUAUAGGAGCUCAAGUGCUGAGCUGUGAGCUCCGUUGUUCAUUCAGGGCUGUUAGGCUGCUGCGUUUAAGUCUGCUGCAGCAGAGCUUAUAAAACCUCUUUUUUUCCUCAGAUGCUGUGUCUCGGGGAGUUGGGGCUUUCUUUAUGAGUGUCCAUUGCACUUUCCUGCCCAGCUAGGAGGCAGUCUAAUCACUAUUUGCCUGCCGAGGCUCCACCCUGCUGCCAUGGGCUCCACCCUGCGGCAGAGUCUCAUUUUAAUGGCGGGUUGCCUCGGCAACGGCAGGCUGCAUCAGCAACGGCAGGCUGCAUCAGCAAUGGGAGUGUACCUCAGUAGGGGCGGAUUGCCUCGGUAAUGGCGGACGCCCCUUCCCCCACCGAGCUGCACCGUCCUGGGUUCAGCUGUGCCCCCAGUGAAACUCUCCACCCAGAGUGUUUCGAAUCGCCAUUUUUUUUUGUCCCUGUGGGGGUGAAACCCACUGCUCCUGCUCACCUGGCUCCCUGCCUCAGAGCAGCUUUCUUUUUUUUUUUUUUUUUUUUAUGUUGAACGGUUGGCUCUCUCCCAGGUGUUUCAGUCACCUGCUGUUAGGGCACAGGGAUCUGUGUGAUUUCCCGUGCAGCGACCCACUGCGCUGGCUCAAAUGCUGCUUCCCAGGAAUCUCCUGGUCUGGCUCACUGUCCAAGUCCUGUUUAAUCAGAUGGAUAUGCUAAUCUGCCCCUCCAAAUCUCAGAGUGCCGCUGUGCUGCGGCGCCAGCCGAAAUGGCUGCACCAGCCAAAGCAGCUGCGCUGGUGUCCCGUGUCUCUCCUACACCUGGGAAUUUCCCCAUUCUGUGGGCAACAAAGAUCCGUCUGGAAAUGCGGCUUUGACUUACCCUCUGCGCAUUCACUGAGAGCUGCAAUCCUGAGUUGUUCUUACCGCGCCAUCUUGAAUCCUGGGUGCCAGUCAUUUUUUUUAAGGAGCAUUUCAGAUGUAUACAAAAAUAAAAUAGGGGCCAGGUGCGGUGGCUCACACUUACAACCCCAACACUUUGGGAGGCCAAGGCAGGUGGAUCACAAGGUCAAGAGAUCAAGACCAGCCUGGUCAACAUGGUGAAACCCUGUCUCUACUAAAAAUACAAAGUUAGUUGGACAUGGUGGCUCACGCCUAUAGUCCCAGCUACUUGGGAGGCUGUGGCAGGAGAAUUGCUUGAACUCAGGAGGUGGAGGUUGCAGUGAGCCGAGAUUGCGCCAUUGCACUCCAGCCUGGGUAACAAGCGAUACUCCAUCUAAAAAUAAAUAAAUAAAUAAAAUAGAGUAAUGAACUUCCCUGUACCCAUCACCCAUCUUCAGUAUUGCAGGCUCACACCUGUUAUCCCAGCACUUUGGGAGGCUGAAACAGAUAGAUCACCUGUGGUUAGGAAUUUGAGACCAGCCUGGCCAACAUGGUGCAACCCCAUUUUUACUAAAAAUAUAAAAAUUAGCCAAGCGUGGUGGCACGUGCCUGUAGUCCUAGUUACUCAGGAGGUUGAGGUGGGAGAAUUGCUUAUAUCUGGGAGGUGAAAGUUUUGGUAAGCUGAGAUUAUUCCACUGCACUCUAGCCUGGGUGACAGAGUGAGACUCUAUGGCAAAAUAUAUAUAUAUAUAUAUUUAUAUGUGAGGAACAUAGGAUUAUGAGGAUAUUUCCUUUUUUCUAUUUAGGUUUUGGAGUGGUGUACUUAUUGAAAAAUUGCCUAUUAAUUAAAGUUUCAUGUCUGAGACUUUUCAUAUAAAUUUUGACUUCUUUUAUUAAAGAGGAUUGUUAGUAACUUUUCAAAAUUUUAUUAGGAUAUAACUAGGUUUAGACCAAUGGAGAAAACGGAGUAGCUUGUGGUAUUUCUUAUAUUCAUUGAUUAGUGAUUGAUUACUUUUUAAAAGCUGUUUGCUCUGAAUUCUUUGAGAAAGAUCUGUAGAAAUAUUUUCUUUUAUUGAAAUAACACUGGUUUUCUCAUUUUGUGAGCUACAAAUGAGUUCACAGUUUAAUUCAAAGUUCAGUAGUCAAUAUUUAGUACUUUCUAUAUGUCAGGGGUCUUAGUCAUAUGUAAAUAUGUCUUAUAAACAUUAGAGCACAUUUAACAGAUGUAUGUCGUUAAUCAGGUAUUCAAAGAAAGAAGAAAUAAGUAAAUAUCUCUUUUCUAUUUGUAUGUUUGUAGAUUUAAAUAAUUUAUAAGGUUUUGAUGUUUGGAACAUUUAGUUUCUUUAUUUUAGUAGCUUGUCCAUGUUUCUAUUUAUCGAGAGAAGAAAAAAAGCCUCUUCACAGUCAUUAUGAUGAGGUUGCAGUUAUUACUGUCCUCCAAGGUUAGGGCUGAUGUAUUGUAGGUCACAGGGACAGGAUAGGACUUUGUAUCAUGAGAUUCAUGAGGUCAGUGACCAUGUCUGUUACUGUUUACUGUUUUGUCAUAUUCUGGCACAUAAUAGUUUGUCAGGUAUUUAUUUACCAUCCAAUCGAAUGAAUGAACAGAUCUAUAAUUUAAAGAGAGGAGAUAGGCAAAAUAGAAGUAUAAUUUUGAAAUUUACUAUAUCAAUUCUGACUGAAAUAUAUAUAUACAGCCAAUUCGUGGGACUGGAAUAAAAAGUUGCUACACACACACACACACAUACACACACACACACACACACACACACACACACUAGAUCAAGACUCGCUGCAUGUAAUUGUCUGCAGACUAUCCAGUAGAGGGCAGGGUUUUACUUGUGAGGGAAUUUAAUACAGCUUUUUUUUUACCAUCAUGUAAAUGCUUACCUUCCUUAUAAACAUUAUUAUCAUCAAAAUAAGUAAUAUGUUUAUUUUUCUUUAAUUGUUAUAGAAUAUUUGACCAAUGGCUCCUGCUUUUCUUAAAGUUAAGAAAUGAUGCACAUUUUAAAAUAACUUUUCCCUACUUGCAUCCCAGUUUGUAUUGUGCAGGUUAUAAGGUCAUGGUGACAUUUUAGAUUAUGCAUUCCAUCUCAAAUAGUAGUUGAGUUGCUUAUGUUCUCAAAUGACCUUUUUAGGUUAUCUUAUGUGUUUCCAAAGCAGCAUUAGACAUAGGUCUGGAGUGUUGACAGUUGUGAAGAAGUAUAGUGCAAUAAUGCUUCAUCAGAUAAAUAAGCAAUAUCGUAAAGCUUGUCAGCAGAGCACCACAGCAGUCACUCGUGUCAGUUUGAAAAGACAAGGAUGUGUACCCAAAGGAGACGUGUCAGCCUGCUAAGGCACUUAAGGUUUAAUAUCUUUAGGUUUAACAUGUUUGAAUAGGCACUUCUCUCUGUCCUUCCCACUAAGCACAGCAAAAAACACAGGACCUUGUAUGUAAAACAAACAUAAGACUCUGAAAGGUAGAAGACCACUGACCAGCUAGGGACUAGGAGAGUGCAUGGUAUCACGGUAAUACCAGUAAAGACCUAAUGGGGAGCUUGAACUCUUACCCCAACCCAGCACUAUCAGGGUACCUCCCCUACUUUCUACUUUGGGUACUAAAGGCUGAUUGGGGAACAUGAAUUUUUACCCUCAGUUGCUAGUAAUGAAGUAACUGUCCCAUUCUCCUGCUGGCACAGUGUCAUAGAAGGCCUGCUGUGGCUGAAGAUUUAAAUAAGAUACAAACAUUCAUAGUACCCCAAAUAUCCAAAUUUCAAUUUAAAGCCACUCGUAACCAGAAAAGAAUCAGGAAAAUCUCAACUGAAAUGAAAAAUGAACGUCAAUACACACCAACCCCAAGAGAACACAGGCGUUAGAAUUAUCUGAUGAUGAUUUUAAAGUAGCCACCACAAGAAAGCUGAGCAAUUAUAAGCAUGCUUGAAACAAAUGAAAAAGUAGAAAGUCCCAGAAAAGAAAAAAAAAAGCUAUCAGAAGAAACCUAAUGAAAAUUUUAGAACUGAAAAAUGUAAUAACUUAAUUUUUAAAAUGGAAUAGACAGGUUUUAUUUAGAAUGAGGGUGAUAGAGGAAGGAAUUGGUGAACUUGGAAAAAUUAAGAAAAAUUACUCAGUCUGAACAGCUAUGAGAAAAUAGAUGUUAAUCAAAACCCAUAAUUCAGAUAUAAUAUUUGUGUCAUCAUGUGGACAGAAAGAGAGGGGAAAGAGGGUAGGACUGAAAAAAUUUCAAAAAAAAUGGAUGAAAAUUUGGUAAAAGUCAUGAAUCUAUGAUUUCAAGAAGCUGACCGAACCAUAAGUAGAAUAAACCCAAAGAAAUUCAUGCCAAGACAUACUAUAGUCACAUUUCUUAAAACCAAAGGCAAAGAAAAAAUCUUGUAACAGCAGGAGAGAAAUGACACAAAACCUGUACAGAAAAACAGUUUGAAUGACAGUGGAUUUCUCAUCAGCAAACAUGGAGACCAGAAAGAAGUGGCAGAAAUUUUUGAGGACUAGGGAAAUAACUGUCAACCCAGAAUUCCAUAUCCAAUCAAAAUAUAGUUUGAACAGAAAGGAAGGGAAAACCACAAUGCUCUUAGGUGAAGGAAAAGAGAACUUGUCAUCAGUAGACCUACCAUAAAAUAAUGUCUAAAGAAAUUUCCUGAAACAGGAAAGAAAUUAUAAAAGAAAGGAAUAGUGAACAUAAAGAAAGAAGAAAGAACAAUAUAAAGUGUAAAAAUAUAGUAAAUGUAACAAACUUUUUAAAAACUUUUUUGAACGUUGUAAAUUGUGUUUGACUUUUUGCACUGUUUUCAAUUGUAAAAGUCUAGUGUAGUUAUCAAUGUAUGUAGAAGAAAUAUUGAAGACAUUUAUAUUAUAAAUGGAGAGGAGUAAAGGAACUUAAAGGAAGGUAAAGUCUAUACUGGAACUGAUGAAAUGUUGACACCAGUAAAUGUUGAUAAGUUAUAGGUAAUGCAGUCCUUCAGCAGCCACUUUAAAAAGAAUCUAUUCAAAGAGAUGCAGUCAAAAACAUUUUAGAUAAACAAAAAUGGAAUUUUAAAAGAUGUUUAAGUAACCCAUAGGAGGAAGGGAAAAUAAAACUGAUAAAAGCAAUAAAAUGAAAUAACAGAUUUAAGUUUCAACAUAUCAAAGACUACAUUAAACAUAAAUGACCUAAAUUCAUCUAUUAAAAGACAGUGAGUUUUAAAGAUGACACAGUGUGCUGUUUACAGGAAGUAAUUUCAGACAACAAUGUAGGUGAGUUGAGAGUAAAAGGUAGCUUUAUUUAUGCUAAUACAAAACUGAAAACAACCAAAGUGCUUCUCAGUGAUGAAUUGCUAGACAAACUGUUAUAUUCAUACCGUGGAAUACUACUUAGUAAUGAGAAGGAAUGAACUAUUGAUACUUGUAGUAAUUUUAAUGGCUCUUAAGGGCAUUAAGAUGUAUCUUUAAAAAGUCAAUUUCAAAGGACUCAUGUUUCCAUUUAUGUAACAUGGCAAAAUUUUUGAGAUGGAAAAGAAAUUAGUGGUUGUUAGGUGUUGAAUAGUGAGAGGAAGGAAGCUGAGUGUGACUAUAUAUGGGUGGUACAAGAUCUUUGUUGUAGUGACAUAGUUCUGUAUCUUGAUUUUGGUGGCAGUUCCACAAAUGUACAUGUGAUAAAAUGGCAUAGAAUGACACACACACAUUGAACUGGUAUUCCUGAUUUUUAGUGUGUUAUAGUAAUCUAAAAUAUAACCAUUGAGAGAAACUGGGUGAGAGGUAUACUGUACCUCUGUAGUAUUUUUGUAACAUCCUGUAAAUCUAUAAUUAGUUCAGAAUAAAGAGUUUUAAAAAGUAACAAGACGGCUUUGCAGAUGCUGCUGCCGCCGGGAGCCUUGUAGUAUCAGCCAUGGUCAACCCCACUGUGUUCUUUGACAUUGCCGUCAACAGCGAGCCCUUGGGCCGCAUCUCCUUUGAGCGCUUUGCAGAUGAGAUUCCAAAGACAGCAGAAAACUUUUGUGCUCUGAGCACUGGAAAGGAUUUGGUUAUAAGGGUUCCUGCUUUCACAGAAUUAUUCCAGGGUUUAUGUGUCAGGGUGGUGACUUCACAUGCCGUAAUGGCACUGGUGGCAAGUCCAUCUGUGGGGAGAAAUUCGAUGAUGAGAACUUCGUCCUAAAGCAUACAGGUCCUGGCAUCUUGUCCAUGGCAAAUGCUGGACCCAACACAAAUGGUUCCCAGUUUUUCAUCUGCACUGCCAAGACUGGAUGGCAAGCAUGUGGUCUUUGGCAAGGUGAAAGACAUGAUGAGUAUUGUAGAUGCUAGGGAGCACUUUGGGUCCAGGAAUGGCAAGACCAGCAAGAAGAUUACCAUUGCUGACUGUGGACAGCUCUAAUAAGUUUGGCUUACAUUUUAUCUUAACCACCAGACCAUUCCUUCUGUAGCUCAGGAGAGUACCCCUCCACCCCAUUUGUAUCCUAGAAUCUGUGCUUUCGCUGCAGUUCCCUUUGGGUUCCAUGUUUUCCUUGUUCCCUUCCUUGCCUAGCUGGAUUGCAGAGUUAAGUUUAUGAUUAUGAAAUAAAGACUAAAUAACAACAACAACAACAACAAAAGUAAAAAGGCCUGUAGUCCUAGCUACUCAGAAGAUUGAGGCAGGAAGAUUUUUUGAGCCCAGGAGUUCAAGGAUACAGUGAGCUAUGGUCAUCCCACAGCACUCCAGCCUGGGCAACAGAGGAAGACCCUGUCUCUAUUUGGCUGGGGGGGGAAGAUGAAUUAUAAGCAGGAAGAGUUUGAAUUCUUUUUUCUUCUUUUGAAACAGUCUUGCUUUGUCACCCAGGCUAGAAUGCAGUGAUACCAUCUCAACUCACUGCAGUGCAACCUCCACCUCCCAGGUUCAGGUGAUUCUCCUGCCUCAGCCUCCUGAGUAGCCAGGAUUAUAGGUGCGUGCCACCACACCUGGCUAAUUUUUUGUAUUUUUAGUAGAGAUGGUGUUUCACCGUGUUAGCCAGGAUGGUCUGGAUCUCCUUACCUUGUGAUCCGCCCACCUCAGCCUCCCAACAUGCUAGGAUUACAGGCUGAGCCACUGUGCCUGGCCAAGUUUGAAUAUUUUAAACAAAUGCAUUAAUAUAUUGUACACAUAUUCAGGUAUAGAGAAUCCAGUAUCUUUAGUGUGUACUUAAAAUCAUCAAAUGUGAAUAUAUGAAUAUAUGAUUUUUUUAAAAUUUAGUUUUGAGUUAAAGAGGCAGAUUAUAAAGAGGGAGCCAUUUGACUACUCUAAACUCUUAGUGUUUUACCUUUCUUUUAAAAAAAGAAAUCUACUUUAGAAGAUGAGGAUUUAGCUAUUAUUCUCAUCUUCCUCACUACCAUAAAUGCAAACUUCAUUUCUGCCUCCCCAUUUUCUCACUAUGGUUUUUAUAUUUAUUUCAAUUACAUCAAUAUUCUGUUUUUUCAGUUGGAUAGUAUAAACACUAUUCAUACCUGGGCUGUGAUUGGUUUUCCUCUCUUGUUCAACUUUUUGUUUUCUCCAGAAUUAAUAAUUGUCUUUUGUUUACUUACUUAAUUUUCUAUAUGCUUAUGAUUAAUUGAAUUCCCAACUCCCUGAAUUGUAAAUGUCUUUCUGUUCAUUCUGAAUAUGUUUACUCACUAUCUUAAUUUAAAAAAAGGAAGUAAACAUAGGUUGGGUUUUAGAAUUUUGGUAUAAGGAAAAUUCUUAGUGUUAGAAUUUACCAGCAAAAUCAGAGCAAAUACUCUUUGUUACUUUUUCUAUUUACACACAUACCCUGUCCAGCUACAGAUAAGCAAAUGGUUUACCCUUACUUCAGCUUAGUUGCUGAUUUUUGUCAGGAGUCUGUUUCUUCAUCGAUUCCAAACACUGGUCACAUAGAGAAGUAGGAAGAGCUGUGGCAUAGAGAUGAGAACACUUAGAUUCUUGUUCUGAGUUAGGUUUUUUUUUUUUUUGAGACGGAGUUUUGCUCUUCUUAACCCAGGCUGGAGUGCAAUGGCACGAUCUUGGCUCACGGCAACCUCCGCCUCCUGGUUCAGGCAAUUCUCCUGCCUCAGCCUCCAGAGUAGCUGGGAUUACAGGCAUGUGCCACCAUGCCCAGCUAAUUUUCUGAGUUAGUUUUAAUUGACCUCAAUGUAGGAUCAUCAGGUAACCUCCUUGGCCUUAGUUUUCUUUUCUCUAUAAUAGUGACAAGAUCAGACUAGAUUAUAACUGAGGUCUCUUCCAGUUAAAAUGUGAUUUCAAAUAGAUAAAGUAUUUACUUAAAUCCUGACAGUAUAUGUAGUAUCUUUAAAUUAAGAAUGUUGUCAUUUCCACUACUUUUAUUUUUUUAACUUUUAUUUUUUGAGACAGAAUCUCACUCUGUUGCCAGGUGCCAGGCUGGAGUGCAGUGGCCUGAUCUCGGCUAACUGCAACCUCCGCCUCCUGGGUUCAAGCAAUUCCCCUGCCUCAGCCUCCCAAGUAGCUGGGACUACAGGCACGCGCCACCAUGCCCAGCUAAUUUUUGUAUUUUUAGUAGAGACAGGAUUUCACUGUGUUGGCCAGGAUGGUCUCUAUCUCUUGACCUUGUGAUCCGCCUGCCUUGGCCUCCUAGAGUGCUGGAUUUACAUGCAUGAGCUACCACAGCUGGCCCAUUUCCACUUUUUUUUUUUUUUUUUUUUUUUUUUGAGACAGAGUCUUGCUCUGUCGCCAGGCACCAGGCUGGCGUGCAGUGGCAAUCUCGGCUCACUGCAACCUCCGCCUCCCGGGUUCAAGCAAUUCUCCUGCCUCAGCCUCCUGAGUAGCUGAAACUACAGGCGCACACCACCAUGCCCAGCUAAUUUUUGCAUUUUUAAUAGAGACGGUUUCACCAUGUUGGCCAGGAUGGUCUCCAUUUCUUGACCUCGUGAUCCGCCCACCUCCGCCUCCCAGGGUGUUGGGAUUACAGGCGUGAGCCACUGUGCCCGGCCAUUUCCACUACUUUUAAAGAAAUACCCUGAUGUUUAGAAAGAAAUUAGAUUAACUGUAAUCCCAGCACUUUGGGAGGCCAAGGCGGGUGGAUCACGAGGUCAAGAGAUCGAGACCAUCCUGGUCAACAUGGUGAAACCCCGUCUCUACUAAAAAUACAAAAACUUAGCUGGGCAUGGUGGCGCGUGCCUGUAGUUUCAGCUACUCAGGAGGCUGAGGCAGGAGAAUUGCUUGAACCCGGGAGGCGGAGGUUGCAGUGAGCCGAGAUUGCCACUGCACUCCAGCCUGGGUAACAAGAGCAAAACUCCGUCUCAAAAAAAAAAAGGAAAGAAAGAAAUUAGAUUAAAAGGUGUUGUAGAGAUGGGAAAUUUUACAAAAGACAAAAUGGGCCAUACAUGGCAUGUUUGUUGUGCUUCAAAUUAUGAUAUGAGAAUUGUGGUUUUCAUUUUCCAAGGGUGUCUAUUCGAGAAAUUCUAAGACCAUCAGAAACCUCAUUGUUUAUUACCCAAUGGAUUAGAUUUGACCCAUAGAGUAUUCUCUGAAGUAACUAAUGUGGCUCUUAUGGAGAUUUCUUCAAUUGUAGACUUGAAGCUAGAUGGAUAUAUGGCAGCUUCUAAAAGAGUCCUUGGUGGUCUAGCAGUUUUUAGUUGAUAGAACCGAGGACAGAAUGUACUGUUUUCUAUUUGCAAGUGUUUUACUUUAUUGUAAAUGUUGUGUGAGGGGUAUUUGAUAUUUGGGAUACUUGAAUUUUUUUUCAGAGGGCAUGAAGGUGAAUUACCUUAAUGCCAGAUGUACAUUUGGAAAUGAAUUUGUAAGUUUAUUUGUAUACACCUGUUGACAUACCUUUACAUACGUUUGGUGAUGCUGAUAGUGUGCCACUUUACAGGAUUCCAUGAAAAGCAGAUGUGUAAUGUCAUUUCAUAACAAACAUAUUCAUUAGUUAUUAUAUUUACUGGUUAUUAUUAUUCACA
Molecule: non-coding RNA, 23779 nt
Organism: Callithrix jacchus (white-tufted-ear marmoset)
Lineage: Eukaryota; Metazoa; Chordata; Mammalia; Primates; Cebidae
Source: RefSeq, a predicted model, not a curated record